GUCUAUGGCCACGCCACCUUGAACAAGCCCGAUGUCUGAUCUCGGAAGUUAAAUAGGGUUGGACCUGGUUAGCAUUUUGGAUGGGAGACCACCUAGGAAGACCAGGUGCCAUAGGCA
This 117-nucleotide ribosomal RNA is filed under the name Pteropus alecto (black flying fox). The record is from RNAcentral. Lineage: Eukaryota; Metazoa; Chordata; Mammalia; Chiroptera; Pteropodidae.